RNAcentral lists this ribosomal RNA (1261 nucleotides) under metagenome. RNAcentral describes it as "bacterial LSU rRNA". It matches the Rfam family "Bacterial large subunit ribosomal RNA", at positions 1661 to 2925 of the family's 2925-position model. The record is from RNAcentral.
AGGUGGGUGAGUGUAAAUGCACUAAGGCGCGCGAGAGAGACCUCUCUAAGGAAAUCGGCACAUUAGCCUCGUAACUUCGGGAAAAGAGGUGCUCACUUCGGUGAGCCACAGUAAAUUGCGUUUAGCGACUGUUUAACAAAAACACAGCACUCUGCUAAGUCGUUAAGACGACGUAUAGGGUGUGACACGUGACCAAUGCGGAAGGAUUAAGGCAUUUUGUUAGCCGCAAGGCGAAGCUCGGUGCCAAAGUCCCCGUGAAUGUCGGCCGUAACUAUAACGGUCCUAAGGUAGCGAAAUUCCUUGUCGGGUAAGUUCCGACCUGCACGAAUCGUGUAACGACUGAACGACUGUCUCGGAGAGGAUCUCGGCGAAACUGUAACUGCGGUGAAGAUGCCGCAUGCCCGCAGUAGGACGGAAAGACCCUAUGCACCUUUACUGUAAGCUGGUAUUGUGUUCUGAUUAAUAAUGCGUAGCGUAGGUGGGAGGCUUUGAAGUGAGUGCUUCGGUGCUCAUGGAGCCGCAAUGUGAAACACCACUCUUUGCUAAUUAGGAUUCUAACCUCGAUUCCUGUCAACCAGGCGAGGGACAGUGCUUGCGGGUCAGUUUGACUGGGGCGGUUUCCUCCCAAAGAGUAACGGAGGAGCGCGAAGCUUGGCUCAGCACGGUUGGCAACCGUGCGUCGAGCGUAUGGGUAUAAGCCAGGUUAACUGUGAGACCUACAAGUCGAGCAGAUGCGAAAGCAGGCCCAAAUGAUCCGAUGGUUUAAUGUGGAAUUGCCAUCGCUCAACGGACAAAAGGUACGCUAGGGAUAACAGGCUGAUCGGUUCCAAGAGUUCACAUCGACGAACCGGUUUGGCACCUCGAUGUCGGCUCAUCGCAUCCUGGGGUUGGAGAAGGUCCCAAGGGUCCGGCUGUUCGCCGGUUAAAGCGGUACGCGAGCUGGGUUCAGAACGUCGUGAGACAGUUCGGUCCUUAUCCACUGUGGGCGCAGGAAUCUUGAGGGGUUCAUUCUCUAGUACGAGAGGACCGAGAAUGACGCACUUCUGGUGUGGCAGUUGUUCCAUCAGGGGCAUCGCUGCGUAGCCAUGUGCGGAAGAGAUAAGCGCUGAAAGCAUCUAAGUGCCAAGCUCAUCCCAAGAUAUGGAUUCCCGGACGCAAGUCCCUAAAGACCCCCGGCAGACUACCGGGUUGAUAGGUCAGGCAUGUAAGCGUCGCGAGAUGUUUAGUGGACUGAUACUAAUUGGUCGUGCGGCUUGAUCGC